This 468-nucleotide ribosomal RNA is filed under the name uncultured bacterium. RNAcentral's name for it is "partial 16S ribosomal RNA". It matches the Rfam family "Bacterial small subunit ribosomal RNA", at positions 28 to 507 of the family's 1533-position model. The record is from RNAcentral.
GACGAACGCUGGCGGCGUGCUUAACACAUGCAAGUCGAACGGAAAGGCCCUGCUUUUGUGGGGUGCUCGAGUGGCGAACGGGUGAGUAACACGUGAGUAACCUGCCCUUGACUUUGGGAUAACUUCAGGAAACUGGGGCUAAUACCGGAUAGGAGCUCCUGCUGCAUGGUGGGGGUUGGAAAGUUUCGGCUGUUGGGGAUGGACUGGCGGCUUAUCAGCUUGUUGGUGGGGUAGUGGCUUACCAAGGCUUUGACGGGUCGCCCGCCUGGGAGGGUGGCCGGCCACAUUGGGACUGAGAGACGGCCCAGUCUCCUACGGGAGGCAGCAGUGGGGAAUAUGGCACAAUGGGCGGAAGCCUGAUGCAGCAACGCCGCGUUCGGGAUGACGGCUUUCGGGUUGUAAACCGCUUUCGCCUGUGACGCAGCGUGAGUGACGGUAAUGGGUAAAGAAGCACCGGCUAACUACGUG